GGGGAUUUAGCUUAGUGAUGUUGCCACCUGCCUUGCAAGCACAAGGUCCCAAGUUCGAUCCCUGGAACCCCCC
Molecule: transfer RNA, 73 nt
Filed under: Heterocephalus glaber (naked mole-rat)
Lineage: Eukaryota; Metazoa; Chordata; Mammalia; Rodentia; Bathyergidae
Rfam family: tRNA
About the family: Transfer RNA (tRNA) molecules are approximately 80 nucleotides in length. Their secondary structure includes four short double-helical elements and three loops (D, anti-codon, and T loops).
Source: Rfam by way of RNAcentral